CUCUAUUGAGCACCUACGUACUUGUCUUGAUGUCACACACACCAAUGACUCGAGACUAGUCACUCUCCCUGAGAAAAGACACAACACGUACUGAUCUUAACGGACUAUCAAUGCCCAAUUGGCAAUCCUAUGAUCAGGAACGUUUAGGAUGUGUCUACGAAAGAAUGGUCUCAUGAAUCUAACUUCUUUAGAUCGUAUUCUCCGAAUCACAUAUUCCUUGGACUUAUCGUUUAAGCAUAUAACAUUUAUAUGAGACGGCUUAAAACAAUAAUCUAUGCCCUUGAUAUUAAACUAGAUUAGUUUAACAUGUGAAAUGUCCGUAAAGUAUCAUCAUAUGAUUGGUUUUAGGGCACAUUUCCAACAUUUUCUGCUUUCUAGGUUUGGGCUGAGCUUCGGGCUUUUCCUUCUCUUUUUGGGCCAACUCCCUUCUAAGCCCAAAGUUUAAGUUUCCACCCAAACACAUUGUAAUCCUAAAUUGAAUAGGUUCUCCACCUCUUCUGAAUAGCUUGGGUAACCAUGACAUGCUGCUAGGUGUCACUCAUGGUUUGUGGAGCCCUAAACGUGUAUAAUCACUAAAGGGAGAAUUGAAAGUAAGUUUAUAUUCACAAUCGAUUUGAAAGAGUUCUAAUCGCCCACUGCCUCGCUAAAAGGAACCUAAUAGAUCAUGCACCGUGUAAGGUAGAGAUUGGCGAAACAACGGAGAUGAGUAAGGACAAUUAAAUGGUUUAAUUGUUUAUGGCAAGAAUUAAUUAAUAUGUUAAUUAAUCAAACGAAUAAGUUCGUUUUAAACCUUGAGUUAGUUUUGGGCCUUAAAGCCCAAAUUGGGGUUCGAAUCGUCAAGCCCAUUAGCUUAAGUUGUAUGACAACUUAACAAACAAAAUUCAAGAAGCCCAAAAUAGCCCAAAGGCUUGGGAAAACCGGCCAUAUAGAGAGGGGUAGUGAACUUGGCUUAAUUGCAAGUUUGCCACUCCAUUGUGAGGUGGUAUAAAGGCAACUUCAUAGCCAUUUCAUCCUUAGGGUUUCUUUUGAAGAAAAUUGGAGAGAACAUGUCUCUCCCUUUCUCUCUAGGAGGCCGGCCCCUUGGAGGAGAUUAGCUAGCAAUCUUUCCUCCUCCAAGGUCACUUAUCUCUUCUUCAUGUCCCUCCUUGGUGUGGAAAAUUAGAGGUUCUCAACUUUGGGAACUUGGAGAAUCCUUUCAACCAUCCUCAUCCAAGAAAUCCAUGGAUCUAAGAAGCAAGGAAUGAAGGCCCUCUCCUUGGGUGAUUAGCCUUUGCUUAUGCAAAGAGGAAUCAACAAAGGUAUAAGAUUUCUCAACUCACUUUGUUCUUGAGUUGAGUCUUGGUUCACGUUUCUACUAGGCUUUGAAUUUCAUGGGUAAUGUUGUGUUUUGAGUGCAUACAAGCAUGAUUCCGCCUUUAAUUGUUAAUUGCAUGCCAUUGAUGUUGCUCAAAUGAACAUGUUUUUCACAAAAUUUCCUUCAAGUGGUAUCAAGAGCCUAGGUCUAGUAGUUGGUGAAUCCUUUUGGGUUUUGUAGUUCAUAGUCUUUGAUUUGAAUGUUGUAAUUGUUACAAGCUUUAUUCAUGCUUCUUUGAAUGUAAAUUUUGUUAGAAAAUUUGCCAUCUCAAAUGUUGAAGACGUAGUUCAUAUGAGCAUGAAUUUUGGAGCUAAAAUUUGGUGCCUUGUUUUUGGGGAAAUUCGGCCAAAUCCAAAGGGUGGAUUUUUGGGUUCUUGUUUGUCUUGUUAAAAGUGUUUUAAAGUGACAUUAGGAACCCCUAAGUACCCUAGUAUGGUAAUAUGUUUUUUCCCUUAAGUUUGAGAGUUUUUGGGGUGUCUUUGGGUUAAAAAUGUUCAUGGAGCUCUUAUGGGUUUUCAUGGAUGUUCUUCAUUGUUCUUGUUAUGUUCUAACCAAGAACAAAAAGGUUUGGUGUUUGAUCAAAUGUUGUAAAAGAGCAUAAGCUCUUCUUUACUUUGAAGUACUCCUUUCUUGUUUUAUUUGAUAUGCAUGAAAUUGGUGUAGUUGGGUCCAACGCCCAAUAGGAAAAACACGCCUUAAUAUGAUUAAACGCGUAACUAAAAUCAAUCACCAUCCCUAGACCGAGAUCCAACACUAGGCUCGUGUUGGAUCUAAUCAAAGGUUCAUAGUCAUCCUAAGGCCCUAAGGCAACUAUAUAGUCCAUCAAUGAAUGCAAACCUUAUGUUAGUAGUACCUUAUACUCUUGCUUUAAAAACUGUUUUACAAGCAUAGUGGGAGUAUUAUAUACAACUAAAUCAAUCACAUGGACCAAUAGUUGUAAUAGGACCAAAUUGUUUUAAUAAGAUUAAAAUGCAUGCUUAUAUGUGAUGAGACCUAAAACCCUCAACCAAACCAUUAUUAAGUUGAUAAGCGUGAGAGUGCUUUGAACACUCUUUCGUGGCCUUCCACCGUGGUAGGCUGUGAUAGUUUGUGACUCGUACACUGACUUCACCCUAUCAUGGGGGAGUACAAAGUGCAUGCUUACACUCAGGAGGAGUUCUAUAUGGAUACAUGAUGUCGUGAAGGUAGGCAACGAGAAUGAUCAACAUCAUAUCAUUGUAAGGUUGUUGUUGAACCCCUACUCGAACUUGCAUGGUGGGAAUGACUUAACUAAGUGCAAUGGAGCCAACAUCAUAUCAUUGUGAGGCUUCAUUCUCUAGAGGCCAAAUAAGAUGGGUACUUGCAAGAGAUGAAAAUGAGUAAGCGUACUCUCUCAUUAUUAUUGAUGCUAACCAACAUCAUAUCAUUGUGAGGUGGGCUUGGUAAUGAUGAGUCUCCUAUACCCUACUACGAGUUUCCUCCAAAACUCUCGAAUUCCGAUGAGGGAUAUGGAAUUUGCCAAAAAUAGUGGGUGGUGCUAUUUGAUUUAAAGACCCGGAUCAAAUGGCUUAAAAUCAAUCAAUUUAUAUUUGUUAUGUAUUUGUUUACCGAUAUAUUUGUAAACGCUAUCCAAAACUUGAUAAAGAAAAGCCGAAUGCUUUAGUUUCUGGACUUGGUACCACAAUCCCAUAUAUUGUCGUAAAUGGAUUGUAUAUGUACCUAAGUAGUCUCAUCCUCACAAUCUUCGUAUUGGUAAUGUAUCAUUGGAAGAACAUGUUAGAUAAGUCUAUCAUAAAGAGGACAACACAAACAACCAAUGCUUAUUCCUUCGUUAUAUGAACAAAGGAACUUAUGAAGAUUAGCAUAAAGACAAGGACACUUUUAGUGUCAUAGUUCUUCACUUACAAAUCGUUGUAUGAAGAAAUAAGAGUUGCUUUGAACAACCCUUAGUUAAUGCAAACACUAGUGCUUGUUCCUUUGUUAAAUGAACAAAGAACUUGAGAAGUAAGCACAAGGGCAUGGACACUUUAUGUGCCAUGAUUCUUCACUUACAAAUUGUUGUAUGAAGAAAUGAGAGUUUCCUUGAACAACUCUUGAAAGUUUGUAAUUGUGUUUAGAACAUAAUGGUUGGUUGACAAAAAUAGUCCAUCAACAAGGACUUAUGAUGAUUUUGAAUCAUUGAGUGUUGAAGUGUUAAACCACUUCACGAGACGGAAACUAGGCUAGGACCUCACCUUUGAGUCCCUAUCCAAAUGGUUCACUAAGUUUAUUGUAAAUUAUAUAGUGAACAAUAACCGCACUCUCUCCAAAUCGUUUGAUGUGUAUAACACAAUUAAAAUAAGUUUCAAGAGAGAUAGUGGGAGUUUAGGGACCAUGACUAUUGUAGUCAAAGGAGAAGUCAAAUGAAGAAGGCGAAAUAACUCCAAGGGAACAAAUUUUCUUUAUGAAAGGAUGGACAUUGGAAGGGGUAUUUGCAAGAAAUGUCUUGCAAGUGUCAAGAACACACAUUUCGAAGGUGUUGUAAAUUGUUCUUGAAUAGUUCAAAACAGUUGGUUCUUCUACUUGAAUGCUUGAUUCCGUAUUAGUAACUAUGUUUUACAAUCGUUGUAAAAGUGUGGCUAAUAAGAAGUAGAAGAUUAAUGAGAAAAGAGAAAGUACUUCACAUUCGGAAUGUGAAUCAAAUGUAGAUCUCUGCGAAAGCAGGUAGUACUUACUUCCUCAUAUGAACUACCAAAGAAAAUGGAAAAACAAAGAUUGUCUUUACAUUCCAAUUUGAAUAAAGGAACAUAAUUCCGUAUGAGAAAUGGAUGAAUGUUUUGUUUGACAAAACAUUGUUCUUUAUUAAUGAAUGAUUAGAUUAUUGUAAUCUAAUUGAUUAUCUCUAUAGUAGAGAUGAUAUGGUAGUGUUAACUGUUUAGAAUAUAACGAUGCUUAAAACCUAAAAGGUUGCAAGGUAGUGACUAAUCCCAACUGAGUUGUGAUACCUCUAAAACAUAAAUUAUGAGUUGGUCAUAGAUGGAUGCUUUGGAUCGUUAGAUCCGGAUCCAAUGCCUUCUUGUUAAAAUUGUAUAGAGGCAAAAUGUUUGAAUCUUUAUUCUUUUAGGAAGAAAGAAUCACUAAGUUGUUGAGGUUAAUUCACUUAGAUGUUAGUGGCACUUGUCCACAACAUAAUACUACUCAUGUUGUAUUGCAUUCACCGAAGAUCGCUCUCGGUUGGACUAUCGUUAAUUUUGAAUAAACACAAGUCCGAAUACUUUGCAAAAGGUUUCAAAGAAUUCAAGAAUGUAAGUUGAUGAGUAAGACGUCUAAAGUAUUUACCUCCUUAGAUUUGAUCCAAGGAAAGGUAACACUUUAGAACAGUUUCCUUGAAAGAUAUCAAGGAAAGAAGCAUCAUAAGAUAAUGGAUUUCUCCAUUAGGAGAAGAACAAACUUGAAUAAGAUUUAGUUUGUUGGAUGUUAUCAAUUACCCAUAUAUAGGAUAUAUACUUCUAAGACAAUAUGAUUGUCAAUUAGAAGAUCUUCCAAAAUUUUCGUGACUCCAUAGGAUGUAGUUGGAAAGAAAGACAAAUCUUAAUCAUGUUAAGAUUUGGGGUUGUGUGCUAAUAAGCAAUAUUUGUUUAAAGAAUUAUCUUGUGGGUAUCCUUAAAUUAACCUUUGGAUAUCACUUCUAUAAACCAACUAACAAAUGUUGUUUUGUUGGGUAGUUCAUUGUAAUCCUACAAAUGAUUUUCCUAUGCGCAAAUGAACGAGAGAUAGAACUCAAAGAAUGGGUUGUUUGAGAGACAAGAUGAUAAUCAACAAAUAUAACAACCUAGUUCCUACACCACAGGCUCUAAGGUAGUCGAGAAGGAUUUAUAAACUGUUUCAGUUGAAUGGUUUGAACUUUAUGACUAUGUCAUAGAGUUACACCUCUUAAUUCGAAAGAAAUAAGAAUGAAAAUCCUUAUGACUACAUUGAGUGUAUAUACGACAUAUACUCAAGGAAAUGGUAAAGUACCAUUUGACCCGAAAUAAUGAAACCUUUAUAGCUAAAUGAUAGCUUAAGGUGACUACAAUCAAAGAGAAUGGUUGACUUGGAAGAAACCAUCUUUGACAUAGUCUUGGUUUCAAUUAAUUCAAAGAAUGCUAGCUACAACUAAAUGGUGAUUCAAUGUUUGGACAUAAUAUGGGUUUCCGAAACAAUUAUUAAGAUAGUCUUGAUAAUAUAUGUCUAAAACUAUGAAUCACAAGACAUGUAAGUUGUAGAGAUCCAUCCAUCAUGAAUCUUAGCAAACUAGUGGGAGCUAUAAGCGUCUUAUGAGAGAAAGAUCAAAUCGUUUGAUUUCUCAUAAAGAUGUAAAUGAAUCUUUUGUUUACUAGGUUUACAAAAGAUUAGUGGGAGUUAAUCAUGUUCCUAAAUUUGAACAUAUAUAUAUAUAUAUAUACACAUAUAUGAUAUAUUAAUUUUGGAAAUGAAAAGAAUACUUCUUCGUUAAAGGUAUGACUUUAGAUAUUCUAUAACGAUAGAAUGUAUAUGGGAGACAUAGUCUAUAAACAUGGGAUGGAAAUCUAUAAUGAUAGAUUUCAGGAUAUAAUUGGAUUAUAUCAAGCCCUAAUGAUAGACAAAAGCUGCUAGGAAGUUUCUCAUAUGAUGAUAAACUUCAAUCAGAAGAACAACUCUAGUGAGACUAGGAGGUAGCUCUUCUCAAAGGGAAUGUACCCUUUGACUCCCAAAGAAAUAAUGCGUAAAUAGAAUCCUUUAUGCAUAUGUAGAAAGGUGAUUUAUGUAUUUCAUAUUGUAUGAAAAACGUUGAUAUGAGUUGUACCAAGAUCGGUACAAGACGAUAUCAAUGCAAGCCCAGGAUCAGAACCAUGGCAACUGUCAAGUGAAUCCUUAAGUAUUUGAGAAAUAAUAAAGGAUGGAUUCUUCAAGAAUAAGGAAGAAUUAGAGUAACGUAAUGGAAGCGUAAAUGUAUUAGAUUAUGAAUCUAAUCCAUCAUUGGAUGUUUCUUCAUUAUGAAUGAAGAGAUAAUUAGAUAUCUCUUUAUUAUAACUAAAGAGAUAUUUUAAUGGAAACAUUAAAAGUAAUGACUUUAGUGUGUUCCAUUAUGCAUGCGAAAUAUAUUGCCAUAAAGAAGCUUACAACAACGUUGUUUGGAUGAGAAAGUUCAUUUAUGAAUUCUCUAUUCGGUUCCAACCAGAAAGUGUCUCCAGUGUACCGACACUACGACACUAAUGGGGCGAUAGUUCAAGCCGGGGAAUCAAGGUCUCAUCAAGAUCUGAACUCAAAUGAGAGACUAAACCACAUGAUUAAGAAUCAUGUAUAAUGGUGACAUUGUUAUUCUCAAGGUUGCUUUUAUGGAUAGCAUAUAGAUAUCCAUUGUCUAGGCCUACUACUCAACCAUUUUUGAAAUGACUACAGAAGAGGUAUCAUCACUGAUGACCAAGCUGAUUGGCUCUAGUGCAAGUGGGAGAUUGUUGGAAAUGUGCCCUAAAACCAAUCAUAUGAUGAUACUUUACGGACAUUUCACAUGUUAAACUAAUCUAGUUUAAUAUCAAGGGCACAAAUUAUUGUUUUAAGCCGUCUCAUAUAAAUGUUAUAUGCUUAAACGAUAUGUCCAAGGAAUAUGUAAUUAGGAGAAUGUAAUUUAAACAAAUUAGAUUCAUGAGACCAUUCUCUUUCGUAUACAUAUCCUAAACGUUCCUCAUCAUAAACGUUCCUCAUCAUAGGAUUGCCAAUUGGGCAUUGACAGUCCGUUAAGAUCAGUACGUGCUGUGUCUUCUCUCAGAGAGAGUGACUAGUCUUGAGCAUUGGUGUGAUUGACACCAGAACAAGCAUGUAGGUGCUCAAUAGCGAAUGAGUCCACUGAACACGAUCAACGAGGAGUUCUCAUACUCAUGUCGCAUGAGAACUCAUGGUUGGGAUAAUGCAAAGUAGUCCUUUAACCUGAGGCAUGAUAGUUGUCUUGUGGUUAGGUCCUUGAUCUUUGACUAUGUCAAAGUCACUCCGUCAGAGGGUGUCCACGGCAUAGUUGGGGUUAAGCCACUUAGCCAUGGAGGCAAGUGAAUACGCAACAAGGGAUCUCUAACCUUCAAACUGUUUGAGGGAGAAUACUCUAUGAUAUGAUGAAGAAUCUCUGGCUAGAGUAUGAAUAAGAUUUAGGAUGUCGUUCCAAAUCACAUUCAAGGUAAUCAUAUAAGUAAGAGAAUCACAUUGGAUAGUAGACAUGAAUAAGCUAUUAAACCAAACAAUGUGGUCAAGAGUAUUGUAUUAGAGAAAGACCGUAUUGCAUUGUAAUCCUAAACUGAAUAGGUUUUCCACCUCUUCUGAUUAGCUUGGGUAACCAUGACAUGCUGCUAGGUGUCACUCAUGGUUUGUGGAGCCCUAAACGUGUAUAAUCACUAAAGGGAGAAUUGAAAGUAAGUUUCAAUUCACAAUCGAUUUGAAAGAGUUCUAAUCACCCACUGCCUCGCUAAAAGGAACCUAAUGAAUCAUACACCGUGUAAGGUAGAGAUUGAAAAAACAAUGGAGAUAAGUAAGGACAAUUAAAUGGUUUAAUUGUUUAUGGCAAGAAUUAAUUAAUAUGUUAAUUAAUCAAACGAAUAAGUUCCUUUUAAACCUUGAGUUAGUUUUGGGCCUUAAAGCCCAAAUUGGGGUUCGAAUCGUCAAGCCCAUUAGCUUAAGUUGUAUGACAACUUAACAAACAAAACUCAAGAAGCCCAAAACAGCCCAAAGGCUUGGGAAAACCGGCCAUAUAGAGAGGGGUAGUGAACUUGGCUUAAUUGCAAGUUUGCCACUCCAUUGUGAGGUGGUAUAAAGGCAACUUUAUAGCCAUUUCAUCCUUAGGGUUUCUUUUGGAGAAAAUUGGAGAGAACAUGUCUCUCCCUUUCUCUCUAGGAGGCCGGCCCCUUGGAGGAGAUUAGCUAGCAAUCUUUCCUCCUCCAAGGUCACUCAUCUCUUCUUCAUGUCCCUCCUUGGUGUGGAAAAUUAGAGGUUCUCAACUUUGGGAACUUGGAGAAUCCUUUCAACCAUCCUCAUCCAAGAAAUCCAUGGAUCUAAGAAGCAAGGAAUGAAGGCCCUCUCCUUGGGUGAUUAGCCUUUGCUUAUGCAAAGAGGAAUCAACAAAGGUAUAAGAUUUCUCAACUCACUUUGUUCUUGAGUUGAGUCUUGGUUCACGUUUCUACUAGGCUUUGAAUUUCAUGGGUAAUGUUGUGUUUUGAGUGCAUACAAGCAUGAUUCCGCCUUUAAUUGUUAAUUGCAUGCCAUUGAUGUUGCUCAAAUGAACAUGUUUUUCACAAAAUUUCGUUCAACCACCACCUUUGAAGACUCAUUUAGGAGCUUUAGAGGAAUAUUCAUGUCCCUAAAAGAAUAUUGUCUACAAAGAAAAUGUCCUUAUAGUAUAAUCCCUAAAUAUAGGGACUAAAAUAUUAAAAACCUAUUAUCCAUUUCAUUAAAAUGUUGUAACCAUUGAUAAAAAUAAAAAACUAUCUCUACCAUUGAUUUAUCAAGAAUUAAAAAUAAAAGGCAAAUGAGAAGUUGUGACACACCCCGAUCGGAGUCGAGACGUGUUGGCUGUCACUUGAGGGUGAUGUAGCCAAGUGCGCAACAGAAGUGAUAAUAAUAAGAAAAUGUGAAUAAAUAAAAACCAAAACUAAACUUAUUUAACUAGAGAUAGUAUGUAAGUGUGUGAAAGUGAUCAAGUAUAAGAUACACGCAUAUCAAAGCAUAGGUAAAACAAAGGUGCAGUCGAACUAACUAAGUACUAAUUAUCCAAACAGAGAAGACCCCUACUUUUAUUUAUGAAAACGUCAGAACUGCCGUGUAGUCCUCGUGAGCCACCAAAGAUGAACAACUACCUACAACCUAGAAAGGUGCAAAACAGAAAGGUGAAUAGGCAAAAAACAAAGCGUUUGAAAACGUAUUUAUCUUUAUGAACAUAAUCCCUCUCUGUAAAACCCGUAUAGUUUCUAGAAAAUACAACUACAUAGGUAUGAAAACCAAUGCACAAGAGUAGCGAAAACUGAAGUAUGCCAUGUCAUAAUAUCUCAGCAAUAAUAACUGUAAGCUAGGUGUGAAACUAAUAUAAAAUAGUAUGCCAGUUGGAGUCACCUAACGUGACUUAUACGAAUGGACCUGUAGCUCAUCAAUCUAGGCUAGCACAUGAGUCGGAGUCACCUAGUGUGACCUAUACAACAUGUUGGGUAUAAAUAUGUACGCUCAAGAGCUACGAUCACAUGAAGGCUGUGCGAUAAUUUACGGGUCACCCACGAGUCGGAACCACCUAUUGUGGUCUGUACGAUAAGCUGGCACCAGACUUAGAUCCAAGGUGAGUGUGUGGUGCAGGAGGUGAACAAUCACAUGAAGGUUGGCCUUAGCCCCGGGCGGGAGCACUAAUACCAUGGUGCAGCCAUUAUGAGCUUUAAAUAAAUGUGUGCAUACCAAUGCAAUACAACCCAUUCAAUCACAUAAUACUCACUUGAAGCUUACCUGAGUCUUCGUAGCAUCACACAAUACAAUUCAUAAGUAGUAGGAUCAUAGCCCCUUGCUUCGCUUUCCACCUUCGUCCUCAAGGUAUGUCUCACCUAUAUGCGAUACAACUAUUUUUACGUUAAUUAAUUAGCACAUAAAGCCUAGGAUUAAUUCCUCAUACAUUGCUCAAAUGGGGUGUUUGAAUAUACCAACGUGAUCUACUCGACAACACGAAGACCCCCAUAUUUUUAGAAAAAUUUUUGGAUGUCAGACACGCCAGCCACGCGCAAGCACAUGUCUGGCACACGGGAUGAAACCCUAACGGUGUUAGGAAUAUUCCGUUAAAAUAGCAGAAUAUUCUGUUAAAUUCUAACAGUGUUACCUGAUGCGAUUAGAAUAUUCGAUCAAUUUUGAUGGAAUAAUCUUCGUCUUCUUCAGUGGACCACGCCGGUCUCUGCCGUCCACCUUCGCCACCCAUAGUCUAAUUUGCCAGUUUUUGGAAAAUUUUCAAAGCUUAAUAUCUACUUCAUUUCUCAACCAAAAUCCAUGAAAUUUAUAUGGAUUUGAAGGUUUUGAAGAGUAGAACACAUUCGUACCUAUUAGGAGUUCAAAAUCCUACGAAAAAUGGUCAGAAAAUUCCUUGGAAAAUCCAGCCAAUUCUGCAACUUUCAAAACUUGCCUAUACCGACAUCUGCUUCACUCCAAAGCUACUCCAAAGUGUUAUGGAAGUUGUGCGGAUACCUUUCCAAGCCUUAAAACCUCGAAACCACGCCGGGAUUGCGUCAGAGCAACUUGGCUCCUUGUUGGAGCUCAUGAGUCGAUGGUCAAAACUCACCAAAACUGAAACCUAAGGGUAUGGCUAGGUUCGUAAGUUUGUAAGGAGUGUGAUGGUAGUCUUAGUAGGUUCGAUUCAUGCUGUUUUGGUGUGGUUUGUGCAUGUGGGGUGUCUCGGUGCAGAAGGAAGAAGAAAGGAGAAGAGUCGAGAACGAGAGAGAGAGUGUACGUGUACGUGUAUGUGUGUGUGUGUGUGAUUGGCUAGAAUAAAAAAAUAAUAUUUUCUGAUUGGGUUGCCGUGAAAGGGAUAGAGUUCCGAUUGGCCCAAAGAAAGAUAAAGGCCCAAAAUCUGAUUGGUUUAGAGGUAAUAGAAGAUAAUAUAAUUGGUUCGUGAUUUACCCAUUUACGUAUUCAAUUAAUCAUUACAAAUCCAAUUCGGCCCUAACUCGCGUUGACGUGCUCGUGACGUCGAGUACGAUUUAAUUACAACGGCAAGGAAAUAAUUUAAAACUACAUAUGCACAUCCAUGUCACUAAGCCAACAAGGGCAAUAUCAUCACUUUACACACCAGGGGAGAAAAUAUAUAUAAUAAUUUGGGAUGGGUCGUCACAAUUUGCCCCACUUGGGUGGGCUCAAAAAACAAGGAACAAAAACAUAAAGAGCAGAACCAUUCCUACUUAAAAUUAAUAUGGAGUCCACUAUAUGAGUCCCUAUAUGUAGUCCUCAUAUUUGAAAACUCUUUGAGGUAUCCAGCGAGUCCCUAUGUAUUGAGAUACUUUGAGGACUUUAAUUCCAACCCAUUGCAAGUCAUUUGUCCCUAUAUUUAGGGACUAUACGGUUGUAGGGACUCCAUUUAGGGUCUCCAUUGGAGAUGCUCUUAGUGAAUAGGAUAAUAAACACAAAUUAACAAAGAAAAAGGUUACAAAAGAUGAAAAGCUAACGACUCCAUCUUAAUUUCCACUAAUCACGAAUAAUGACAAAUAAACUUACUUUCCCACUAACAACUAAAUAAUGAAAAUUAUAAUUUAUUUAAUAUUAAAAAUGAACCAACAUUCCCCCACUCUUUUUUAAUAUUAGUUAUGAAGAAAAGAAUGAAAAUAAUAAUGGCCAAAGACGGACCAUUAUGCAUCAUGAAGGUGUGACUAUGCAUUGAACCUCCAUUUGUGAAGCAAUAAUUCCUACUCCAGAGUUAAUAGUGGUCUUAGACUUGAACUACAACUUGUUUAUACCAUAUUUAGGGCCUCGUAUUUAGAUCUCGUACAAAUACUCGGGGGACUUAAAUGUAAUUAUGUGAUAAAGGAAGGGGCAAAUAUGUAAUAAGUGAGGAGUCCUCAUUCUAUAAAAGGACCCCUUACCCUCACAAUUAGGGGAGACCAUUUUUGGAGCCUUCUCACCCCUCUCACAUCCCUUCUCAUAUUCAGAGGUUCUCUCUCUAACCUCUCAGAUAAAUACAAUAAUUAGUGUGGACAUAGCCCAAACCUUGGGGUGAACCACGAUACAUCUUGUGU
RNAcentral lists this long non-coding RNA (12063 nucleotides) under Malus domestica (apple). Its description in RNAcentral is "long non-coding RNA (MDOM_LNC019678)". Lineage: Eukaryota; Viridiplantae; Streptophyta; Magnoliopsida; Rosales; Rosaceae. The record is from RNAcentral.